Molecule: ribosomal RNA, 440 nt
Filed under: uncultured bacterium
Lineage: Bacteria
Description: partial 16S ribosomal RNA
Rfam family: Bacterial small subunit ribosomal RNA
Source: RNAcentral
CCUACGGGCGGCAGCAGUAGGGAAUAUUGCUCAAUGGGGGAAACCCUGAAGCAGCAACGCCGCGUGGAGGAUGAAGGUUUUCGGAUUGUAAACCCCUUUUGUUAGAGAAGAUAAUGACGGUAUCUAACGAAUAAGCACUGGCUAACUCCGUGCAAGCAGCCGAGGUAAGACGGAGGGUGCAAGGGUUACUCGGAAUCACUGGGCGUAAAGAGCGCGUAGGCGGGAUAGCAAGUCAGAUGUGAAAGUCUAUGGCUUAACCAUAGAACUGCAUUUGAAACCGUUAGUCUAGAGUAUGGGAGAGGUAGGUGGAAUUCUUGGUGUAGGGGUGAAAUCCGUAGAGAUCAAGAGGAAUACUGAUUGCGAAGGCGACCUGCUAGAACAUAACUGACGCUGAUGCGCGAAAGCGUGGGGAGCAAACAGGAUUAGAUACCCUUGUAGUC